UUCAGGGGUAAACCUGAGAAACCCGAAAGGUCGAAAGGGGAAAUUCAUUCGCGUCUCGACCGUCGGAGUGGGGCGAUCGAGUGACGGACGGCGUACGCGUCGUCCGCGCCUUUCGUUCUAUUAUUCGGCGUCGAACGCGUGCACUUUUCCCCUAGUAGGACGUCGCGAUCCGUUGGGUGUCGGUCUAAGGCUCGCGGUGGAGCCCGGGCGUACGUCUUCGGGCGUUUGCGCUCGGACCCGCGGUGUCCCGGCCGACCCGCUCGACGGUAUACAGAUGGCGCGGGGCCGCUACUUUAGUUAGCGUUCGGCCCGCGGCAAGCGCGUACGGUGUUGGCGGCGAUCGGACCUAGCGCCGAUCCCGUCCCCGGACGACUGUUGGCUGCGGUGUUCUCGAACAGACCCUGGUUUUGAAACGCCGAUCUGCGACGCUAUAGCUUUGGGUACUUUCAGGACCCACGGACCAAGGAGUCUAGCAUGUGCGCGAGUCAUUGGGACAUAACUAAACCUAAAGGCGCAAUGAAAGUGAAGGUUCGCCUCGCGCGAACCGAGGGAGGAUGGGCGGUUCGUACUUCGUGCGGCCGCUCCGCACUCCCGGGGCGUCUCGUUCUCAUCGCGAGAAGAGGCGCACCAAGAGC
Molecule: ribosomal RNA, 635 nt
Filed under: Anoplophora lurida
Lineage: Eukaryota; Metazoa; Arthropoda; Insecta; Coleoptera; Cerambycidae
Description: eukaryotic LSU rRNA
Source: RNAcentral